RNAcentral lists this ribosomal RNA (533 nucleotides) under uncultured archaeon. RNAcentral describes it as "bacterial SSU rRNA". It matches the Rfam family "Archaeal small subunit ribosomal RNA", at positions 49 to 592 of the family's 1478-position model. The record is from RNAcentral.
CCAUGCUCCCCGAGAGGGUUCGGCCCUCGGCAGACCGCUCCNUAACACGUGGAUAACCUACCCUGAAGUGGGGGAUAAUCUUGGAAAACUGAGGAUAAUACCCCAUAGAUCUUCGAUACUGGAAUGUUCCUAGAUCAAAAGCUACGGCGCUUCAGGAUGGGUCUGCGGCCUAUCAGGUUGUAGUAAGUGUAAAGGACUCACUAGCCGACGACGGGUACGGGCUGUGGGAGCAGUUGCCCGGAGAUGGACUCUGAGACACGAGUCCAGGCCCUACGGGGCGCAGCAGGCGCGAAAACUUCACAAUGCGCGGAAGCGCGAUGAGGGGAUUCCAAGUGCGUGCACUAUGUGUACGCUGUUUACUAGUCUAAAACGCUAGUANAGUAAGGGCUGGGUAAAACUGGUGCCAGCCGCCGCGGUAAUACCAGCGGCCCUAGUGGUGAUCGUUAUUAUUGGGCCUAAAGCGUCCGUANCCGGUUCGGUAAAUCUCUGGGGUAAAUCGUUGGGCUUACUCACGANUCUGGGAAACUGCCAAC